AGGGCCAUAGCUCAGUGGUAGAGCAUCUGCUUUGCAUGCAGAAAAGGCCCCAUGUUCAAUCCCUGGUGGCUCCA
Non-coding RNA from Zootoca vivipara (common lizard), 74 nucleotides. The record is from the annotation of a RefSeq genome assembly. Lineage: Eukaryota; Metazoa; Chordata; Lepidosauria; Squamata; Lacertidae.